Molecule: ribosomal RNA, 485 nt
Filed under: uncultured bacterium
Lineage: Bacteria
Description: partial 16S ribosomal RNA
Rfam family: Bacterial small subunit ribosomal RNA
Source: RNAcentral
AUUGAACGCUGGCGGAAUGCUUUACACAUGCAAGUCGAACGGCAGCACGGGGGCAGCCCUGGUGGCGAGUGGCGAACGGGUGAGUAAUACAUCGGAACGUGCCCGGUCGUGGGGGAUAACGUAGCGAAAGUUACGCUAAUACCGCAUACGAUCUGAGGAUGAAAGCGGGGGACCUUCGGGCCUCGCGCGAUCGGAGCGGCCGAUGUCAGAUUAGGUAGUUGGUGGGGUAAAGGCCUACCAAGCCGACGAUCUGUAGCUGGUCUGAGAGGACGACCAGCCACACUGGGACUGAGACACGGCCCAGACUCCUACGGGAGGCAGCAGUGGGGAAUUUUGGACAAUGGGCGCAAGCCUGAUCCAGCCAUUCCGCGUGCAGGACGAAGGCCUUCGGGUUGUAAACGGCUUUUGUACGGAACGAAAAGGCUCUGGCUAAUACCUGGGGCUCAUGACGGUACCGUAAGAAUAAGCACCGGCUAACUACGUGC